GAAAGGGAUGCUAAUACCGCAUACGUCCUACGGGAGAAAGCAGGGGAUCUUCGGACCUUGCGCUAAUAGAUGAGCCUAAGUCGGAUUAGCUAGUUGGUGGGGUAAAGGCCUACCAAGGCGACGAUCUGUAGCGGGUCUGAGAGGAUGAUCCGCCACACUGGGACUGAGACACGGCCCAGACUCCUACGGGAGGCAGCCAGUGGGGAAUAUUGGACAAUGGGGGGAACCCUGAUCCAGCCAUGCCGCGUGUGUGAAGAAGGCCUUAUGGUUGUAAAGCACUUUAAGCGAGGAGGAGGCUACUUUAGUUAAUACCUAGAGAUAGUGGACGUUACUCGCAGAAUAAGCACCGGCUAACUCUGUGCCAGCAGCCGCGGUAAUACAGAGGGUGCGAGCGUUAAUCGGAUUUACUGGGCGUAAAGCGUGCGUAGGCGGCUUAUUAAGUCGGAUGUGAAAUCCCCGAGCUUAACUUGGGAAUUGCAUUCGAUACUGGUGAGCUAGAGUAUGGGAGAGGAUGGUAGAAUUCCAGGUGUAGCGGUGAAAUGCGUAGAGAUCUGGAGGAAUACCGAUGGCGAAGGCAGCCAUCUGGCCUAAUACUGACGCUGAGGUACGAAAGCAUGGGGAGCAAACAGGAUUAGAUACCCUGGUAGUCCAUGCCGUAAACGAUGUCUACUAGCCGUUGGGGCCUUUGAGGCUUUAGUGGCGCAGCUAACGCGAUAAGUAGACCGCCUGGGGAGUACGGUCGCAAGACUAAAACUCAAAUGAAUUGACGGGGGCCCGCACCAAGCGGUGGAGCAUGUGGUUUAAUUCGAUGCAACGCGAAGAACCUUACCUGGCCUUGACAUACUAGAAACUUUCCAGA
Molecule: ribosomal RNA, 859 nt
Filed under: Acinetobacter baumannii
Lineage: Bacteria; Pseudomonadati; Pseudomonadota; Gammaproteobacteria; Moraxellales; Moraxellaceae
Description: bacterial SSU rRNA
Rfam family: Bacterial small subunit ribosomal RNA
Source: RNAcentral